This 774-nucleotide ribosomal RNA is filed under the name uncultured Neocallimastigales. RNAcentral's name for it is "partial large subunit ribosomal RNA". It matches the Rfam family "Eukaryotic large subunit ribosomal RNA", at positions 24 to 645 of the family's 3401-position model. Lineage: Eukaryota; Fungi; Neocallimastigomycota; Neocallimastigomycetes; Neocallimastigales. The record is from RNAcentral.
UAUGUGAUCGUCUCUCGCAUAUCAAUAAGCGGAGGAAAAGAAACUAACAAGGAUUCCCCUAGUAACGGCGAGUGAAGCGGGAAGAGCUCAAAUUUGAAAUCUUAAAGGGUUUCCCUUUACGAAUUGUAGUUUAAAGAAGUGUUUUCUGUUGAGGUUUUGGUAAAAGUUCUUUGGAAUAGGACAUCAUAGAGGGUGAGAAUCCCGUAUUUGACCUUUACUUUCAACUUUGUGAUACACUUUCAAAGAGUCGGAUUGUUUGGGAAUGCAGUCCAAAAUGGGUGGUAAAUUUCAUCUAAAGCUAAAUAUUGGCGAGAGACCGAUAGCGAACAAGUACCGCGAGGGAAAGAUGAAAAGAACUUUGAAAAGAGAGUUAAACAGUACGUGAAAUUGUCAAAAGGGAAGCGUUUGACACCAGUGUUGUUUUUCUGAAAAUCAAUUAAAGAACUGUUUAUGCUAAGCUGUUUAGACUUUAUCAGCUAUCUGUUUAGUUUUGAGCUUUUCUUUAAUGCACUUUUCAGUUAACAAGUCAACAUCAAUUUCUUUUGCUGUAAAAAAGCUUGAGGAAGGUGGCUUGAGAUUCGUCUUAAGUGUUUAUAGCCUCUUGCCUAUGCAGUCGGAGAGAUUGAGGUCUGCAGCGUAGAUCCUUCGGGGCUAAAUGCAUUUGUGCUAAGUUAUAGCAUUUUAUAGACAACUUGUUGACUAUGAUUUGUCUUGUAGCUUACUCGCUUAUGUUAUUUUACCUACGCUUAGGAUGUUGAUCUCUCACAGUCGAGC